CAAUUGGGCACGGUUCGAUUUAAGCAACAUGAAUAUUUUUGGUUUGUUGCCAAAACCGAACGGGCAUUGUAUUGUCGUGACCAAUUGAGUAAAUUUUCCUGUUUUAGAGAAAAAAAAUCUAAUGUUUUGAAGUACAGAGUCUGAAAACAAAAGCAUAUCUAUCACUUCCGGAACACGUUGAAGCGUUAUGUCGCAUUUAGAAGCUAGUAUUGAUGUGAGUAAUAAGCAUAAAAAUAUGAGCAUAAAAAUAUGAUAAACUCAUUUAAAAAACUAGUAGAUCUAUCCCGGUAGAAACAAUAAUGUGACAAGAAUUGGGUAAUGUUCUUCAACUUCCUUCGCUUAAUUACAAUUAACUCAAGAGCGGUCGCGCAUUUAGCCAUCGCCAGCACCACCCCGCUCGAGCUGUUUAUGUAAAGCGAGCUUUUUACUUGGUGCGUGUAGUCGGUACACGUAUGCGACUGAUCCUGGGUUAAACCACCUCAAAAAAGUAAGUACAAUCUAAUUUCAUUAAAAGUCGUUUAAUAGAAGAACGUUCUUAAAAAAGAAAAUUUACACUGUUUUCUCGUUAAGAAAUUUCUCAAUGAUGGGUUGAUUAUGGGCAAGGAAGCAAGCUGUUUUAUUCAAACAAUGUUGGCUAAGCAGUGUUUAGGGAGUAAAAAACGGACCAAAACGUCAGGAAAAUAAAAAAAAACUAGCGUUUUGAAUUCCCUAAAAAUUGCAUGGCCAUAAUUGUUUGAAUAACAUAAUCUCAGUCAAAGCCAGCUGCUUUAUAUAUUCUAUGAAACUUGCUAAAGGCCUUCAUGGGAGCCAACUGACGACUUAUUAAAACAUCCAGGAAAAAACCAGUUAUGUCCUAUGAUUACCUGUAGGAACAAUAUUGAUUGCAUUUACGAUUUCAAACUUAAAUCUUGCUUAAAUCAAACUUAAGGCUUGCAAUCUCUUAUUGACAGAAUGGCAAUGCAUUUAUUUUUCAGAUAAAAAUAGCAAUAAUGACUCAAUAAAAUAUUUGAAAUAAUAGAAAUUUGAUCCCCUUAUUCACCCUAGGAAUGACCUUUUGCAAAACAAGUGAGGGUAUAGAAAAUACUAGGCUAGCCAGAAACUGCUCUGCGAUGCAUCAGGCAAUUUAGAGGUUUUCGUGAGGAAUAAAAAUUGAACUGAAAAUUCACAACACAAAUCCUCAAACGAUUCGAGUGGGAGUGCAUUGAAAAGCGAGGAUAUUUUUUCUUGUACUCUUUCUCUCUUGCUGCUAUGCUCACCUUUACUAACACUUUAAAAAAACUCUUCAGAGACCUGCCUGAACAAAACCGACCUCGCCGAGUUGUGAUGGGCUUUUUUAUGGAAUUUUUCUCUGAUUGUUUUAUGCCGCAUCUUCCUCGCUCAUUUUUCGUUUUCACAAAGAAGCAAAGACAGCGCGCUGCUCUAGAUUAUGUUACCAAAUUCUGACGAUGUUGAGAAGUAUUAUCGAGACUGGAGAAUACUCACAUUUAUUCAUAAAUCAAGAAAACUAACACUUAUUUACCAUGGCUUCGUGGAGCCCCUUAGAGGUCGUUACAGCCCCUAUUGGUCCGCGGAAACCCUGGUCUAAAAGAUCACCAACUUAAGGCAACGGACAGCAUAAUCAUCUCUUUUCCAUCAUGUGGAAAGUUUAACCAGUUAGAAAAUAAAUAGUGAUACAUAAGAAAAUAGUGUCCAAAAAGUUUAUUCAAAAAUUUCUAAUAUAAAUCAUAAAUGUACUCAUAACAUGCAAAGAUGUAGCAAUCAAGGUCACAGGUCUAUUGAAUAUAUCAUAAUUUCACACUUCAGCAACGAUUCGAUCGUUUUACGCUAGUUUCAAAAUAAUUUUAAUCAAUCCCGAGAUCUCGGGAAAUUCUGUAAUUUGAAAAAUAAAGAUAAAAAAGAACCUGUGAAAUUCUACACUCAACCAAAGUAAUCUUCGAGGUUCAUCAAAAAGCUUUAUGGAUUUUUGGACGAUGAUUAGCACGUUUAAAAAGCGGGCAAGAAAUUACUAAAAUUGUAAGUCUAUUACCGAAAUACCUAUUAAAUGAUGAAAGUUUCAGCUGUACUUAACGAGCUGCUACAGAAAUUACGUUUUUUAUCAAAUCUCCGAACACUGAGCACGGGAAGAUAUGUAAAGAAUUUCAUAAUCAGAGUUUCUGGAGUGGUAUCAACCAUAACAACCUUCGAUAUUUAUCAGCAAAAAUUGAAUGAGAUGAUUUAUGACCGUUUCGUAGAACAAAUGGAAUCACUAUGCGUCGUCGUGGUCGUCAUUUUAUAACGAACCUACACCAACAUCUCGGAGCAGAAACCACCUGUUUUCCCGCAAUCUUACACCCACCCGGGCGCCCGCCAGCCGAUGCCAAUAGGGCCGACCGUCGUCGUCGUCAUCGUCAUCGUGGGUGUGAGAAUAUCUUGCAUGGAAGGAACCCCGACGACAUCAACAAAGCAGACCACAAGUUGGUACACACAUACCUACAUGGGUGCCUACAUUGCCAUUUCUUUGGGGAGCAUCAAGUUGAACGGGGUCCAACCAACCAGGCAACCAACGGUUAAAAGGCCCUUCCUUGGUACAGAAGCAGCAGGGAUAAGGACCUCACUCCCGGUUCUGACGACGGGAAAAAUGAGAAAAGGAAAUGAAAACGGACGUUCUCGCCGCCGUGCUAUGGGGUGGUCCCUGUCGUAUGGGACAAUUUAGCCGCUAUCGGAGAUGUUGUGGCACUAUGCACAGGCUAAGGAAGGAGAUGUUUCAUCGUUUGACAAGCAGAGAACCAUGGCGUAACGGUGGGAAGGUAUAAGGGAUGCGCAGCUUCUGAUGUUCAUUUAGGCCAAAUUUGGAAGUUUGACUGUAUUUUAUGUG
This is a long non-coding RNA of Aedes aegypti (yellow fever mosquito), 2854 nucleotides long. RefSeq lists it as uncharacterized. The record is from RefSeq and is a predicted model, not a curated record. The transcript has 2 exons. Lineage: Eukaryota; Metazoa; Arthropoda; Insecta; Diptera; Culicidae.